GAUGAAGAACACAGCGAAAUGCGAUAAGUAAUGUGAAUUGCAGAAUUCAGUGAAUCAUCGAAUCUUUGAACGCACAUUGCGCCCGCCAGUAUUCUGGCGGGCAUGCCUGUUCGAGCGUCAUUUCAACCAUCAAGCCCCAGGCUUGUGUUGGGGACCUGCGGCUGCCGCAGGCCCUGAAAACCAGUGGCGGGCUCGCUAGUCACACCGAGCGUAGUAGCAUACACAUCGCUCAGGGCGUGCUGCGGGUUCCGGCCGUUAAACCCCUUUUUUACCCAAGGUUGACCUCGGAUCAGGUAGGAAGACCCGCUGAACUUAAGCAUAUCAAUAAGCGGAGGA
Molecule: unclassified non-coding RNA, 336 nt
Filed under: soil metagenome
Description: partial contains 5.8S ribosomal RNA, internal transcribed spacer 2, and large subunit ribosomal RNA
Rfam family: 5.8S ribosomal RNA (bases 1-120)
Source: RNAcentral